This 215-nucleotide ribosomal RNA is filed under the name Pichia kudriavzevii. Its description in RNAcentral is "partial 26S ribosomal RNA". It matches the Rfam family "Eukaryotic large subunit ribosomal RNA", at positions 56 to 281 of the family's 3401-position model. Lineage: Eukaryota; Fungi; Ascomycota; Pichiomycetes; Pichiales; Pichiaceae. The record is from RNAcentral.
UAAAGGCCGAGGGAUUGCCUCAGUAGCGGCGAGUGAGCGGCAAGAGCUCAGAUUUGAAAUCGUGCUUUGCGGCACGAGUUGUAGAUUGCAGGUUGGAGUCUGUGUGGAAGGCGGUGUCCAAGUCCCUUGGAACAGGGCGCCCAGGAGGGUGAGAGCCCCGUGGGAUGCCGGCGGAAGCAGUGAGGCCCUUCUGACGAGUCGAGUUGUUUGGGAAU